UCCUCUCUCUCUCUCUCUGUCUCUUAGUUCGAGAAGCGAGAACAAGAGCGUCAUGGUGAAAUUAUCUUUUCGUAUUCAUCAUUCUCUGAGGGAUUGAAUCGCAUACGCCAGCUGGGUCAUGCUUGACAAGGUCAGUGAGUGUCUCAAACAGCUUCUCUCGCUUAAAGAGUCUCUGUUUUAUCCUUUUGUUUUUCUCUUUAUUUUUCAGGGUGCAGUUAUGCUUGAACUAUUGAAGGACUCAGUUUCUGUAACCAUUCUGUCGAGUGGGUUUUCUUGCCAACAUCACCCACAUGACCGGACUGUCUACUUACGUAGAAUUAGCUGUCGGCAAUUUCGUUGUGGCGUGUAUAAUAAUUCUGUGAUAAAGUCGAAUAGGUGGUGUGCGAUAAUGCCUGACCUUCGCAUAAUCUCCAUGCGGCAACCAGGGACGCGACAAAAUUGUUUAUUACGACCCGUUUGGAAUGACAAAUCUCGCAUCGAUAUGAACAUGGUUGCGACUGUUGAUGCUGGUUCGGUUUGUGAAGAGGGGGAAGGAAAGGAACUGACUGGAGGAGGAGAUGAAGGGUUUGAAGCAUCUAUUUUUGAGCAGACUUUGCCUCCUUGGGGAGAUGUAGCGAUUCAGAAGGAUCGAGAUAUUGAACCUAGAUGUGUUGGCUUGCCUGAGUCAAAUUCUACUGCGACGACUACUUUGAACGAAACGAGAGUACAUUUCUUGGAGGAAACUGAUGAAGAGCAGUUAUCAAAGCGAGUUUUAGUGCUUAGCAGAACCAAUAAAGUUCGAAGUGCAUUUGAAUUGUUCAGGUCGAUGGAAUUGUUAGGUCUUUCUCCUAAUUUACAUGCAUGUAAUUCUCUUUUAUCUUGCCUUUUGAGGAAUGGGCUGCUUGAAGAUGGGUUGAGACUCUUUGAGUUUAUGAAGACAAAGCAGAUAACUACGAGGCACACUUACAGUAUAGUACUGAAAGCUGUUGCCAAUUCUCGGGGUUGCGAUGCAGCCCUUGAAAUGUUUAUGGAAUUGCGAGGGGAAUGUGAAGUGAGGAAGGAUUUUGAUGCAAUCGUCUAUAACACCAUGAUAACUGUCUGUUGUAAAAUUAACAAUUGGGUUGAAGCUGAGAGGAUAUGGAAUUGUAUGAAGGCAAAUGACUGUUGUGCGACUAGAGUUACUUACUGCCUCUUAGUCAGCAAUUUUGUUCGCAGCGGCCAAACCGAACUGGCUAUCGAUGCUUAUAGCGAGAUGGUUCGAAAUGGAUUCAAGCCAGGGAAUGAUACAAUGCAAGCUAUAAUUAGUGUGUGCACGAAGGAGGGAAACUGGAGUUUGGCACUUAGCGUCUUUCAAGAUAUUUUGAAGGGUGGGCUUAAGCCAAACCCGAUUGUAUGCAAUGCAUUGAUUAACUGCCUUGGGAAAGCCGGGGAGCUCAAACUAGCAUUUAAGGUUUAUGACAUCAUGAAGUCAUUGGGCCAUUCACCAGAUUCAUACACAUGGAAAGCUAUACUUGGUGCUCUUUAUAAGGAAGAGCGACACAAUGAUGUUCUUUGGCUCUUUGAAAUCAUUAAGAGAGAUCAGGGCUCUCUGUUGAGUUUGCAUUUGUUCAACACUGCUUUAAUGUCUUGUUCGAAGCUCGGGUCAUGGGAUAGAGCUCUUCAGCUUUUGUGGCAAAUGGAAGCCUCCGGACUCUUAGUUCCAACUGAAUCAUAUAAUUUGGUCAUUAGUGCUUGUGAGAUUGCAAGGAAGCCGAAAGUUGCAUUGCAAGUGUACCAGCACAUGGUUCACCAAAAGCGCUAUCCCGACACAUUUACUCAUCUGUCGCUAUUAAGAGGUUGCAUUUGGGGAUCUUUAUGGGAUGAAGUUGAGGAAAUCCUAAAUCGGGCUACCCCAAAUGUCUCUCUUUACAAUGCUGUCAUUCAAGGAAUGUGCUUAAGAGGCAAGACUGAAUCUGCAAAGAAGCUCUACAUGAAAAUGCGAGAGAACGGUCUUCAACCCGAUGGAAAAACACGUGCUCUGAUGCUUCAAAACUUGCCAAGUGAUUCAGCUUCACGAAGAAACAGGAGGUUAUUUCGUUACGGUGAACACGGACAGAAGAUUAAAAGGAGAAAAGGAAAGAGAUAAUCAGUAAUUAAGCUCGUCCGGAUCGAUUAGCUGAAUCAUGAAUCAGUUGAAGAUAACAGAUAUGAAGCAGAAAAUGAGACAGCAAACAUGAUUAAUUAUGUUACGAGGUGAGAGGGUGUUGCCAGAUGGAUUGCACUUUGGAUUCGAGCAAAUACUCAUACUGAUCAAGCAUCCUGACGACAGUUUCAAACUCUGUCACUUGCCGCACUAUGGCAUAGAUCUGCAGGACGUACUCGUCGAAUCAAAUGCUCUCGGACUUUAACUGCUCCACAAAUACUCUCAACCCAGACUCCACAGCCUCUGUACUUAACUCUCAUAUCCUUCUCCGACAGUUCCUCGUAACUUAAGGUGAGAUUUUAAGGUGAGAUUUGGACAGUAAUAUGAGAUAAGAUGAGAUGAUUUUAGAUAAAAAUUGAAAGUUUAAAAUAAAAUAUUGUUAGAAUAUUCUUUUUUAAUAUUAUUAUUGUUUUGGGAUUUGAAAAAAUUGAAUUGUUUAUUAUAUUUUGUGUAAGAAUUUGAGAAGAUUGUAAUGAUGAGAUGAGUUAAACCUAUAUUUUUAUCCAAACCUAGCCUUAUUCGUCCCUAAGAAAAAAAAAAAAAUUAAGCUAUCAGUGAUUAAUUUGAGCUCUAGAAAAUGAGAAAUGGGAGGGGAUGGAUGAUGACAAAGAGAAUAAUACAAUGGCAAAAGAGAAAUUCUUAAUAUAGUCGCUAGCUAGAGGUAUGCACGUGCACCUCUUACAUGGCCAAAACGACUUGUUUUAUUAAUACCCAAAAAGGGUUUUGUUUCAAAGUGAAGCACGACUGACUUGAAGCAUUGGACACGAUGGAGAAAUAAGUUGGGGAAGAGAAGGUGGGCGACGACGAACCCUAGUAGAGCUACCAACCACGACAACGGUGUCCCCUUUGAGUUGUCUGCGACUCCAUUUUAAUGGAGUUUGGUAGAGCUCUCAUUCAAAUUACUUUCUCCAUCGCAGGUACCUUAAUGAUUUCUCCAUCGCAAUAAAUCCAUUACUUGCAUUGACAACAAAUCUUGCCUUGAUGUAUCUCAAGAAUGCUAUAAAUGACUGUACAUUGUUAGGUGAAAAAAUGAUACGUCAUUACUCGGAUGGGUAUUUCUUUGAAUACAUAAGAGAGUUUGAAGUUCAA
Carya illinoinensis is the source of this 3250-nucleotide RNA transcript. It is a transcript of the gene named pentatricopeptide repeat-containing protein At3g29290, with no coding region annotated. Lineage: Eukaryota; Viridiplantae; Streptophyta; Magnoliopsida; Fagales; Juglandaceae. The record is from RefSeq and is a predicted model, not a curated record. The transcript has 3 exons.